GGCCCGUAAUCCGGGUUGCGGACAGUGUCUGGUGGGUAGUUUGACUGGGGCGGUCUCCUCCUAAAGAGUAACGGAGGAGCACGAAGGUUGGCUAAUCCUGGUCGGACAUCAGGAGGUUAGUGCAAUGGCAUAAGCCAGCUUGACUGCGAGCGUGACGGCGCGAGCAGGUGCGAAAGCAGGUCAUAGUGAUCCGGUGGUUCUGAAUGGAAGGGCCAUCGCUCAACGGAUAAAAGGUACUCCGGGGAUAACAGGCUGAUACCGCCCAAGAGUUCAUAUCGACGGCGGUGUUUGGCACCUCGAUGUCGGCUCAUCACAUCCUGGGGCUGAAGUAGGUCCCAAGGGUAUGGCUGUUCGCCAUUUAAAGUGGUACGCGAGCUGGGUUUAGAACGUCGUGAGACAGUUCGGUCCCUAUCUGCCGUGGGCGCUGGAGAACUGAGGGGGGCUGCUCCUAGUACGAGAGGACCGGAGUGGACGCAUCACUGGUGUUCGGGUUGUCAUGCCAAUGGCACUGCCCGGUAGCUAAAUGCGGAAGAGAUAAGUGCUGAAAGCAUCUAAGCACGAAACUUGCCCCGAGAUGAGUUCUCCCUGAGACUUAGAGU
Molecule: ribosomal RNA, 599 nt
Filed under: Escherichia coli
Lineage: Bacteria; Pseudomonadati; Pseudomonadota; Gammaproteobacteria; Enterobacterales; Enterobacteriaceae
Description: partial 23S ribosomal RNA
Rfam family: Bacterial large subunit ribosomal RNA
Source: RNAcentral